Molecule: unclassified non-coding RNA, 414 nt
Filed under: Zea mays
Lineage: Eukaryota; Viridiplantae; Streptophyta; Magnoliopsida; Poales; Poaceae
Description: misc RNA Zm00001eb088200
Source: RNAcentral
ACCGCCAAGAAUUUUAAAACGAUCGUCUUCCCUACUGAACUUGCCACUCCACACAGUCAUCCAAGUCGAGGCUGCUGGAGCAGUCGAGCAGGGCGUUCUGCUGCUGCUCGUACCGGCAGAUGUAAUUCAGGCCAACGAGCAGCUCGCAGAGCACCGCCUCCGUCGUCUCCCGGUCAGCGAAAUACAGGGUCUGCAGCAGCAGCACGUUCCCCUUCAUCACGAUCUGCUGCUGCUCGAAGUUCCUCUCGGCCUGCCAUCGGACCGUGUCGUGCGCCAUCGGAGCCAGCCACGCCAGCGUCUUCUCCAGCGCCUCCCGCCAGUCGUGCGCCAGGAACGCGUCGUAGAUCGCCACGCUCUUCGCGUGCGUCUUCAGGCUCCUCCGCAGCGCCGCCUUCAGGCUCGACGGCAGCAUCU